AUAGAGACUCAGAGCUGCAUAUCAAUAAGCGGAGGAAAAGAAACUAACAAGGAUUCCCUUAGUAACGGCGAGUGAAGCGGGAAGAGCUCAAAUUUGAAAUCUUCAAGGGUUCUACCUUUACGAAUUGUAGUUUAAUAGAAGUGUUUUCUGUUAGUAGAGUUCGGCUAAAAGUUCUUUGGAAUAGGACAUCAUAGAGGGUGAGAAUCCCGUAUUUGUACAGUUACUUUCUAGCUGUGUGAUACACUUUCAACGAGUCGGAUUGUUUGGGAAUGCAGUCCAAAAUGGGUGGUAAAUUUCAUCUAAAGCUAAAUAUUGGCGAGAGACCGAUAGCGAACAAGUACCGUGAGGGAAAGAUGAAAAGAACUUUGAAAAGAGAGUUAAACAGUACGUGAAAUUGUCAAAAGGGAAGCGUUUGACACCAGUGUUGUUUUCUCGAAAAUCAAUUAAAAAUGACCGGAUUUUGUGUUGUAUUGACUUUAUCAGCUUUCUGCACUUUUUUCUUGUCUUUUUUAAUGCACUUUUCGUUUAACAAGUCAACAUCAAUUUCUUUUGUUGUAAAAGAGGUCAUUGGAAGGUGGCUUUCUUUUCGGAGAAAGUGUUUAUAGCCUUUGACUUCUGCAAUCGGAGAGAUUGAGGUCUGCAGCGUAGAUCCUUCGGGGUUAGAUGCAUUUGUGCUAAGCUAUAGCCUUUCAUAGACAACUUGUUGACUAUGAUCAGUCAUGUAGCUUACUCGCUUAUGUCAUUUUACCUACGCUUAGGAUGUUGAUAGUCACAGCGUGUAC
Molecule: ribosomal RNA, 782 nt
Filed under: uncultured Neocallimastigales
Lineage: Eukaryota; Fungi; Neocallimastigomycota; Neocallimastigomycetes; Neocallimastigales
Description: partial large subunit ribosomal RNA
Rfam family: Eukaryotic large subunit ribosomal RNA
Source: RNAcentral